GGCUGAAGCGGUUAAGACACCGCCCUUUCACGGCGGUAACACGGGUUCGAGUCCCGUAGGAGUCA
This 65-nucleotide transfer RNA is filed under the name Staphylococcus aureus. RNAcentral's name for it is "tRNA-Glu". It matches the Rfam family "tRNA", at positions 9 to 71 of the family's 71-position model. Rfam says of the family: Transfer RNA (tRNA) molecules are approximately 80 nucleotides in length. Their secondary structure includes four short double-helical elements and three loops (D, anti-codon, and T loops). Lineage: Bacteria; Bacillati; Bacillota; Bacilli; Caryophanales; Staphylococcaceae. The record is from RNAcentral.